UCGCACUCCUCUCUCUUUCUCUGGAUCUCUCCCUCCUCUCUCUCUUCCCGCUCUCUCUCUCUCUCUCUCUCUCUCUCUCUCUCUCUCUCUCUCUCUCUCUCUCGAUCUCUCUUCUCGCUCUCCCUCUCUCAUUCUCUCUCUCUCUCUCUCUCUCUCUCUCUCUCUCUCUCUCCACCCACGCUCUUGUUGCCGAAGCCCUACCCACGCACGCCGUCUCUCUCUCUCUCUGAAGCUCGGUUGAGGUCACAGAUAUCUGAUGUGGCUAAUGAGGAAGUCUACAUGCUGGAUAAAAAGUUCAAGAAAGGGAAUCAUGUUUGAGUUCGUGUUCUUGGCUUUAGGCAUCUAAAAGGAUUGGCAAUGGAUGCUUUCUGUAUGUUUUAUUUUUUUAUAAUAAUUAAUUUUUCUAUCACUUUCCAUGUAGUAUAUGACCUUUUGAUCUGCUCGGGGCAUUUUUUCUCUGUUUUUUCAUCUAUUUCAUUAUUUAUUUAUUUAUAACUUGAUUAUUUCUUCAUCUCUAUCUUUAAAAUUUCUUUACCAUAUAAACCUUUACUACUGUCUUGUAAAGCACACUAAACCCUCCAUUCUCUGCAGGUAGAGCAGCUCUUUAAGGAUCAGAGCAUCCUAGUUGCAUGUCAUCUAUUGGACCACUUCUGUGAAAUAAACCUUCCUUAUAUUCAAAGACAUAUAAUUCUAUUGGACCACAUUGUUAUUUUACUUUGUAGUUUGUGAAUUUUAAUUGGUCAGCUUUUGUUUCAUAUAGACAUUGAAUUGGAGCAGCUAGUCUUCCCGGCUUUGUUAAUAUAGCAGUUAAUAAAUCCAUUUAAUUCAUUUUGAUAGUUUGGAGAAAGAAAUACUUGACCGAUUUAAUCUGUAUAUGUGUGUGCAUGGAUUGUUUUUAUUUUGUUUUGAACAUUUAGUUAGUUUUUGUCUCUAGUUAGAUUCUUUUUUUUUUUUCUAUUCCCAUAAAACUAGUUGUGCAGCCCGUUUACAUCCCUACAUUCAAGUGAUGUGCAGUUUGCUUAGGACUUCUUUAGUUGAUAGGUAGAAUGGCUUUCUUUCAUAUUUCUUCUUUGGGUCCAUUUCACAUGACCUGCAUUGCAUUGCUCAUGUAGCAUGGAUACCACGGGCCCCAUAUGUGGAGAUGAUCUAAAUUGCCCAUCUGCUUGGUGCUGUUGGGGAUGGGGCAUGGUACAAAAAUCAUGUGGAGUGAAUCAUCCUAAUGAUUGAUUGGAGUUAAAAAUGAACCUUUGACGAUU
Long non-coding RNA from Magnolia sinica, 1256 nucleotides. RefSeq lists it as uncharacterized. The record is from RefSeq and is a predicted model, not a curated record. The transcript has 2 exons. NCBI's taxonomy places the organism in Eukaryota, Viridiplantae, Streptophyta, Magnoliopsida, Magnoliales, Magnoliaceae.